UACGAAGGGUGCAACCGUUGCUCGGAAUUAUUGGGCGUAAAGCGCACGUAGGCGGCUUAGCAAGUUGGAUGUGAAAGCCCUCGGCUUAACCAAGGAAGUGCAUCCAAAACUGCUGAGCUUGAGUAGUUAAGAGGAUCGCGGAAUUCCCGGUGUAGAGGUGAAAUUCGUAGAUAUCGGGAGGAACACCAGUGGCGAAGGCGGCGAUCUGGGAACAUACUGACGCUGAGGUGCGAAAGCGUGGGGAGCAAACAGG
RNAcentral lists this ribosomal RNA (253 nucleotides) under uncultured bacterium. Its description in RNAcentral is "partial 16S ribosomal RNA". It matches the Rfam family "Bacterial small subunit ribosomal RNA", at positions 524 to 776 of the family's 1533-position model. The record is from RNAcentral.